UUCACAAUCACACCACCACCUUUACCACCGAAGAGAGAAACGCGAGCAACCAGCGAUCGCCCCAUGGCCGCCAUGGCUCGUUCCGUCUCCCUCGUCGUGGCGCCCCUGCUCCUCCUCUCCCUCCUCGUCUCCGCCGCGGCCAGCGCGCGGACCGUGGGCGACACCGUGCAGGACGCGUGCAGCAAGACCCAGUUCCCCAAGAUCUGCGUGGACAGCCUCGCCGCCAAGCCGGAGAGCCAGAAGGCGACGCCGCGCAAGCUGGCGGAGCUGUUCGUGAACAUCGCGGCCGAGAAGGGGUCCGGGAUGGCCACCUUCGUGCACCGCAAGUACAGCGACAAGGAGGACAGCGACAUGUUCAGGUGCUACGACAGCUGCUCCGACGACGUGGAGGAGGCCGUCGCCCACCUCAACGGCCUCGUCCGGGAGCCCACCGACGCCAAGUUCCUCGAGCUCAAGUCGUGGCUCUCCUCCACGCUCGGCGGCACCUCCACCUGCGAGGACGCCUGCAAGGACCUGCCCAAGACCAGCGACAAGGACGACGUCGUCAACUUCAGCCUCGACUUCGAGAAGCUGCAGCGCGUCACGCUCGACCUCAUCACCGAGGCGUCCGGCACCAUGUCCGCAGGCAUCGCCCUGCCACCCUCCAACGCCGGAGCGCCCUCCUACGGCGCGGCGGCGCCUUCCGGGGGCUCCGCCGAUGCCCCCGCCGGCGCCUCCGAGGGCCCUGCGAGCGCCAGCGGCCCGUCUGGUGACGACGCGCCGGCGUCCGGUGCUGGUGCCAGCGCGUCGGCUGCUGAUGCUCCGGCGGCGGCGGCCUCAUCCGGUCCCUCUAGCGCACCAGCGCCAUCGUCGUCGUCUGAGUCCUCCGCCGCACCAGGCCCAUCUUCUGAUGGCACCUCCAGCGCCCCAGCACCAUCGUCCGGCGACGAUUCUGAUUCCGACGACGAUGGGUCAGCUUGAGCCUGACCGAUGACGCGGGUUUGGGUUACCGGUGCCACUCAAAAUACGAUCCCUUUUAUUGUAAAAGAGGGAUCCCUUCUUUCCAUUGCAUUCUUGCAAUCCGUUUCUUCUUGACUAUGUUUCUUCUUGACUAUGUAACGAUAAUAACAUGAGAAAAUUAUCUGAAUGACAUUAUAUUUUUUCUAAUGCUUUAUUUAUCAUCGCAAAUAUCUUAAUUAAUUCUUUCUAUACCACUUAAAUGUACUUU
This 1207-nucleotide long non-coding RNA is filed under the name Zea mays. RNAcentral describes it as "long non-coding RNA (ZMAY_LNC004194)". The record is from RNAcentral. Lineage: Eukaryota; Viridiplantae; Streptophyta; Magnoliopsida; Poales; Poaceae.